This 281-nucleotide long non-coding RNA is filed under the name Elaeis guineensis (African oil palm). RNAcentral describes it as "long non-coding RNA (EGUI_LNC060427)". Lineage: Eukaryota; Viridiplantae; Streptophyta; Magnoliopsida; Arecales; Arecaceae. The record is from RNAcentral.
UAGAUCUUGAUUUUUCUCUUAAGAAGAGAAAGGUAAAAAAAAAAUCAAAUGUGAUCUGAUUUCAUCAUCUUCCUAUAGAUCUAUUUGAUUCUCUUAAGAAGAGAAUCAAAAGAUCAAACUGAUUCGACAAUCCAGGGAGCGAUCUCUGUAAGGAAGCUAGCAUCCCAAUGAGAUUGAGACCUUCUGAUCAGAUUAGUCUUGGUGCAUAUCUGUAAAGGUCAAAAAUUUAUGCAGCUAUGAUGGAACCUCGAAGACAUCCAUGAACCAUUGGAUCGUGGUGA